GCUCAGGACGAACGCUGGCGGCGUGCCUAACACAUGCAAGUCGAGCGAGUUGAUUCUCUUCGGAGAUGAAGCUAGCGGCGGACGGGUGAGUAACACGUGGGCAACCUGCCUCAUAGAGGGGAAUAGCCUCCCGAAAGGGAGAUUAAUACCGCAUAAGAUUGUAGCUUCGCAUGAAGUAGCAAUUAAAGGAGCAAUCCGCUAUGAGAUGGGCCCGCGGCGCAUUAGCUAGUUGGUGAGGUAACGGCUCACCAAGGCGACGAUGCGUAGCCGACCUGAGAGGGUGAUCGGCCACAUUGGGACUGAGACACGGCCCAGACUCCUACGGGAGGCAGCAGUGGGGAAUAUUGCACAAUGGGGGAAACCCUGAUGCAGCAACGCCGCGUGAGUGAUGACGGCCUUCGGGUUGUAAAGCUCUGUCUUCAGGGACGAUAAUGACGGUACCUGAGGAGGAAGCCACGGCUAACUACGUGCCAGCAGCCGCGGUAAU
Molecule: ribosomal RNA, 487 nt
Filed under: uncultured bacterium
Lineage: Bacteria
Description: bacterial SSU rRNA
Rfam family: Bacterial small subunit ribosomal RNA
Source: RNAcentral